AUACGUAGGUGACAAGCGUUAUCCGGAUUUACUGGGCGUAAAGGGCGUGUAGGCGGUCUUGCAAGUCAGAAGUGAAAUUCCUGAGCUCAACUCGGGCGCUGCUUCUGAAACUGCAGGACUUGAGUGCUGGAGGGGCUAGCGGAAUUCCUAGUGGAGCGGUAAAAUGCGUAGAUAUCGGGAGGAACACCAGUGGCGAAGGCGACUUCCUGGCACAAUACUGACGCUCAUGUGCGAAAGCUAGGGUAGCGAACGGGAUUAGAUACCCCGGUAGUCCUAGCCGUAAACGAUGGAUACUAGGUGUGGGUGUCGCAGGGCAUCCGUGCCGCAGCUAACGCGUUAAGUAUCCCGCCUGGGGACUACGGUCGCAAGACUGAAACUCAAAGGAAUUGACGGGG
RNAcentral lists this ribosomal RNA (395 nucleotides) under uncultured bacterium. RNAcentral describes it as "partial 16S ribosomal RNA". It matches the Rfam family "Bacterial small subunit ribosomal RNA", at positions 523 to 918 of the family's 1533-position model. The record is from RNAcentral.